RNAcentral lists this small RNA (345 nucleotides) under Histoplasma capsulatum. Its description in RNAcentral is "hypothetical RNA". The record is from RNAcentral. RNAcentral also lists the same sequence under 1 other name. Lineage: Eukaryota; Fungi; Ascomycota; Eurotiomycetes; Onygenales; Ajellomycetaceae.
ACAGCCUCUAUCGCUUAGAAACACCCAAAAUUCGGGUUCUUGUUAUUUACUUCCAUAUUUGCCGGGAUAGCGUUGGCUAGAAAUCCCUAACCCUUAAGGCACCUCCGCGUGUUAUUGGUCAUCGACCUACCCAAGACGAAUGAGGGGGCAUUUCCUUAGUUUGCCAAUUCGUCUCUAUUAGGCACAUACGAUGAAUCCUUCCCCCUCUCCCCCUUCCCAAUCCUUCUGAUGUUGAAGAACGAGAUUAAAAAGAGGGAAGUUCAUCACGACGAAUCCACUCGGAAAUAGGUUCAUACAAAAGUUCGCAUGGCACAGUGCUGCUGAUAUCGAUUUCACGAAACCAGG